RNAcentral lists this RNase MRP RNA (293 nucleotides) under Habropoda laboriosa. RNAcentral describes it as "RNase MRP". It matches the Rfam family "RNase MRP". Rfam says of the family: RNase MRP is an enzymatically active ribonucleoprotein with two distinct roles in eukaryotes. In mitochondria it plays a direct role in the initiation of mitochondrial DNA replication. Lineage: Eukaryota; Metazoa; Arthropoda; Insecta; Hymenoptera; Apidae. The record is from Rfam by way of RNAcentral.
AAGUUCCCUCGUUCAACACCGCGGAGCCACAUUCGGAGUCCUCAGUGACUCUCAUGCUCUGAGGAAAGUCCCUGGACCCGUGGCAGCAAGUGUCGUAGCGUUAUCGCUGCCAGCCUUCCGCCGUCUUCUCGACUAGGAAAGGAAGCUUUCGGGCUGAUCUUCGAGUAAGGGUGGCAGUGUAUUGGUCAAAGAAAAGAAAUGUGUUUGAGGCGGGAAGUUCCAUCGAUUCUCUUCUCCUCGGAGAAGAAAUUGAAGAACUUGUCCAACUGAACAGGGCUUAUUACGAGGAAACU